UCCCUCGUAGCUCAGUCGGUAAAGAAUCUGCCUGCAGUGCAGAAGACCUGGGUUCAAUUCCUGGGUAGGGAA
This 72-nucleotide transfer RNA is filed under the name Bos taurus (domestic cattle). It matches the Rfam family "tRNA". From Rfam's summary of the family: Transfer RNA (tRNA) molecules are approximately 80 nucleotides in length. Their secondary structure includes four short double-helical elements and three loops (D, anti-codon, and T loops). The record is from Rfam by way of RNAcentral. Lineage: Eukaryota; Metazoa; Chordata; Mammalia; Artiodactyla; Bovidae. RNAcentral also lists the same sequence under 2 other names.